UACGUAGGGGGCUAGCGUUGUCCGGAAUCAUUGGGCGUAAAGCGCGUGUAGGCGGCCCGAUAAGUCCGCUGUGAAAGUCCAGGGCUCAACCCUGGGAUGCCGGUGGAUACUGUCGGGCUCGAGUCCGGAAGAUGGCGAGUGGGAAAGUUCCGUCGGAUUGGAUUCAGUCGGGUGGAAAGUUGAACGCCAGAUAAUUCAGGGAGGGAAACAACCC
RNAcentral lists this ribosomal RNA (214 nucleotides) under uncultured bacterium. Its description in RNAcentral is "partial 16S ribosomal RNA". It matches the Rfam family "Bacterial small subunit ribosomal RNA", at positions 524 to 723 of the family's 1533-position model. The record is from RNAcentral.